This 566-nucleotide ribosomal RNA is filed under the name uncultured eukaryote. Its description in RNAcentral is "bacterial SSU rRNA". It matches the Rfam family "Bacterial small subunit ribosomal RNA", at positions 337 to 917 of the family's 1533-position model. The record is from RNAcentral.
UCCUACGGGAGGCAGCAGUGGGGAAUCUUAGACAAUGGGGGCAACCCUGAUCUAGCCAUGCCGCGUGAGUGAUGAAGGCCCUAGGGUCGUGAACUUCUUUUCUCGGAGAAGAAGCAAUGACGGUAUCUGAGGAAUAAGCAUCGGCUAACUCUGUGCCAGCAGCCGCGGUAAGACAGAGGAUGCAAGCGUUAUCCGGAAUGAUUGGGCGUAAAGCGUCUGUAGGUGGCUUUUCAAGUCCGCCGUCAAAUCCCAGGGCUCAACCCUGGACAGGCGGUGGAAACUACCAAGCUGGAGUACGGUAGGGGCAGAGGGAAUUUCCGGUGGAGCGGUGAAAUGCGUAGAGAUCGGAAAGAACAUCAACGGCGAAAGCACUCUGCUGGGCCGGCACUGACACUGAGAGACGAAAGCUAGGGGAGCGAAUGGGAUUAGAUACCCCAGUAGUCCUAGCCGUAAACGAUGGAUACUAGGCGCUGUGCGUAUCGACCCGUGCAGUGCUGUAGCUAACGCGUUAAGUAUCCCGCCUGGGGAGUACGUUCGCAAGAAUGAAACUCAAAGGAAUUGACGGA